This 271-nucleotide ribosomal RNA is filed under the name uncultured archaeon. Its description in RNAcentral is "partial 16S ribosomal RNA". It matches the Rfam family "Archaeal small subunit ribosomal RNA", at positions 477 to 747 of the family's 1478-position model. The record is from RNAcentral.
CAGCGCCACGAGUGGGAACCACGUUUAUUUGGCCUAAAGCGUCCGUAGCCGGAUUAGCAAAUUUCUUGUGAAAUUGUUGAGCUUAACUUAACAGCGUGCAAGAAACACUACUAAUCUUGGAACUGGGAGGAGUCAGAGGUAUUCUUUGGGGAGCGGUAAAAUGCUAUAAUCCUUAGAAGACCACCUGUGGCGAAGGCGUCUGACUAGAACAGGUUCGACGGUGAGGGACGAAAGCUAGGGGCGCAAACCGGAUUAGAUACCCGAGUAGUCC